Molecule: ribosomal RNA, 1257 nt
Filed under: uncultured organism
Description: bacterial SSU rRNA
Rfam family: Bacterial small subunit ribosomal RNA
Source: RNAcentral
AGGUGGGGAUCUUCGGACCUGCCGGUCUGGGAGCGGCCCAUGUACUAUCAGCUUGUUGGUGGGGUAAAGGCCUACCAAGGCGCCGACGGGUAGCGGGACUGAGAGGUUGGCCCGCCACAUCGGGACUGAGACACUGCCCGGACACCUACGGGUGGCUGCAGUAACGAAUAUUGGGCAAUGGGCGCAAGCCUGACCCAGCAAUGCCGCGUGCAGGAGGAAGCCCUUCGGGGUGUAAACUGCUGUCAGGGGCUAGCAAACAAUGGGCGUUAAUAGCGUCCGGCGUAGAGCCGCCCCAAAGGAAGCCUCGACUAACUACUGUGCCAGCAGUCGCGGUAAGACAGAGGAGGCAAGCGUUGUACGGAAUCAUUGGGCUUAAAGCGGGUGUAGGCGGCUAGGCCAGUGUCGUGUGAAAUCCAACGGAUCAAACGUUGAACUGCACGGCAAACUGCCUGGCUUGGGGUCGGUAGAGGUGCCUGGAACUCUUGGUGCAGCGGUGCCCUGCGUAGAUAUCAAGAGGACACGCCAGAGGCGAAAGCGGGGCACUGGGCCGAUUCUGACGCUGAGAUCCGAAGGCGUGGGGAGCACCCCGGGAUUAGAUACCCUGGUAAUCCACGCCGUAAACGAUGCGCACUAGACGUCGGAGGUUCUGACACCGUCGGCGUCGCAGCAAAAUUACUAAGUUUGCCGCCUGGGGAGUACGCCCGCAAGGCUUAAACUCAAAGGAAUUGACGGGGGCUCACACAAGCGGUGGAGCAUGUGGCUUAAUUCGAAGCAACGCGAAGAACCUUACCCGGGUUUGACAUGCUUGGAUGCCUCCUGGGGAUAACUCAGGUCGGCUGCCCUUCGGGGUGAAACUUGCACAGGUGUUGCAUGGCUGUCGUCAGCUCGUGCUGUGAAGUGUCGGGUUAAGUCCCUUAACGAGCGAAACCCCUAUCGCUAGUUGCCAGCGGGUCAUGCCGGGGACUCUAGCGAGACUGCCGGCGUUAAGCCGGAGGAAGGUGGGGACGACGUCAAGUCAUCAUGGCCUUUAUGCCCGGGGAUGCACACGUGCUACAAUGGCGCGUACAGAGCGAGGCAAGACCGCGAGGUGGAGCAAAUCGCAAAAAACGCGCCCCAGUUCGGAUUGGAGUCUGCAAUUCGACUCCAUGAAGUUGGAAUCGCUAGUAAUCGCGUAUCAGCCACGACGCGGUGAAUGUGUUCCUGAGCCUUGUACACACCGCCCGUCAAGUCAUGGAAGCUGGUAGUACCCGAAGUCCG